RNAcentral lists this ribosomal RNA (611 nucleotides) under uncultured bacterium. RNAcentral describes it as "bacterial SSU rRNA". The stretch from base 1 to 525 matches the Rfam family "Bacterial small subunit ribosomal RNA", at positions 338 to 873 of the family's 1533-position model. The record is from RNAcentral.
CCUACGGGAGGCAGCAGUGGGGAAUCUUGCGCAAUGGGCGAAAGCCUGACGCAGCCAUGCCGCGUGAAUGAUGAAGGUCUUAGGAUUGUAAAAUUCUUUCACCGAGGACGAUAAUGACGGUACUCGGAGAAGAAGCCCCGGCUAACUUCGUGCCAGCAGCCGCGGUAAUACGAAGGGGGCUAGCGUUGCUCGGAAUUACUGGGCGUAAGGGGAGCGUAGGCGGAUAGUUUAGUCAGAGGUGAAAGCCCAGGGCUCAACCUUGGAAUUGCCUUUGAUACUGGCUAUCUUGAGUACGGAAGAGGUAUGUGGAACUCCGAGUGUAGAGGUGAAAUUCGUAGAUAUUCGGAAGAACACCAGUGGCGAAGGCGACAUACUGGUCCGUUACUGACGCUGAGGCUCGAAAGCGUGGGGAGCAAACAGGAUUAGAUACCCUGGUAGUCCACGCUGUAAACGAUGAGUGCUAGUUGUCGGGCAUGCAUGCAUGUCGGUGACGACGAGCUAACGACACUUAAGUACGACUCCGCCGUCGGGAGGUACGGUACGCGAAGAAGUAAACUACAAGAGAGUAGACGCGAGAGACGACGACGACGGACGACGACGGAGGGAGGAGG